UACGGGAGGCAGCAGGGGGAAUAUUGCACAAUGGGCGAAAGCCUGAUGCAGCUAUGCCGCGUGUAUGAAGAAGGCCUUAGGGUUGUAAAGUACUUUCAUCGGGGAGGAAAAACAAAACUAAUAAUUUUAUUUCUUGACGUUACCCGAAAAAGAAGCACCGGCUAACUCCGUGCCAGCAGCCGCGGUAAUACGGAGGGUGCCAGCGUUAAUCAGAAUUACUGGGCGUAAAGAGCACGUAGGUGGUUUUUUUAAAGUCAGAUGUGAAAUCCCUGGGCUUAACCUAGGAACUGCAUUUUGAAACUGAAAUACUAGAGUAUCGUAGAGGGAGGUAGAAUUCUAGGUGUAGCGGUGAAAUGCGUAGAUAUCUGGAGGAAUACCUGUGGCGAAAGCGGCCUCCUAAACGAAUACUGACACUGAGGGUGCGAAAGCGUGGGGAGCAAACGAGGGAUUAGAUACC
This 457-nucleotide ribosomal RNA is filed under the name uncultured bacterium. RNAcentral describes it as "bacterial SSU rRNA". It matches the Rfam family "Bacterial small subunit ribosomal RNA", at positions 340 to 786 of the family's 1533-position model. The record is from RNAcentral.